GACGAACGCUGGCGGCGUGCUUAACACAUGCAAGUCGAACGGAAAGGCCCUGCUUUUGUGGGGUGCUCGAGUGGCGAACGGGUGAGUAACACGUGAGUAACCUGCCCUUGACUUUGGGAUAACUUCAGGAAACUGGGGCUAAUACCGGAGAGGAGCUCCUGCUGCAUGGUGGGGGUUGGAAAGAUUCGGCGGUUGUGGAUGGACUGGCGGCUUAUCGGCUGGCUGGUGGGGUAGUGGCUGCCCAAGGCUUUGACGGGUAGCCGGCAUGGGAGGGGGACCGGCGACCAUGGGACUGAGGGACGCCCCAGACGGCUAUGGGCGGCAGUGGGCGAGAGUAUUGCAGAGUGGCCGCACGUCUGAUACAGCAAUGCCGCGUGCGUGAUGCUCGCUUAUGGGUUGUAAACAGCUUUCGACGUUGAUGAACCGUGAGUGACGGUAACGGGUAAAGAAGCACCGGCUAACUACGUG
RNAcentral lists this ribosomal RNA (468 nucleotides) under uncultured bacterium. RNAcentral describes it as "partial 16S ribosomal RNA". It matches the Rfam family "Bacterial small subunit ribosomal RNA", at positions 28 to 507 of the family's 1533-position model. The record is from RNAcentral.